AUGAAAAUAAGUCUUAGGAAUGGAUUUUAUCAGGUUUACGAAUUUGAGGAGACACAUAACCACAUUCUUGAUACUGGAACCAUGGCCCAGUACUUGAGAUCUCACGGAAAAGUGACCGAUGCACAAAUAGCGGCUGCAGAGGUCGCAAAGUCUGUAGGCAUUUCUAAUAAAGCAACUAUUGAUCUUAUGGCCAAAGAAGCAUGUGGACAAGAAAACCUUGGUUUUAUCCCUCAAGACAUGAAAAAUCGUUUGUACUCAAAAAGAACAUUGCAAGCAGCGAAAGGUGAUACAGGGGGAGUGUUAGAAUACAUGGAGAAGAAGGUAGCAGAAGAUGUCAAGUUUUUUUAUUCAAUUCAAGUAGAUGAGGACGAUUUGAUAACUAAUAUAUUUUGGGCUGACUCGAAAAUGGUCUCAGACUAUGCAACUUUCGGUGAUGUUAUAAGCUUUGACACCACAUAUAGGAAACUAAAUGAUGGGCGUCCAUUUGGUUUGAUUGUUGGGGUGAAUAAUCACAAGAAAACUAUUGUGUUUGGUGCUGCACUUCUUUAUGAUGAAACUGCUGAAAGUUUUGGUUGGCUUUUUAGAACUUUUCUAAAAGUUAUGUCAGGGAAACAUCCACAAACAAUUCUUACCGAUGAAGAUGCAGCAAUGGCCAAGGCAAUCAGUGAAGUCCUACCUCACUCUCACCAUAGACUUUGUGUGUGGCAUAUGAAUCAAAAUGCUUACAAGCACCUUGCUGGAGUUGUUCCAGAAUAUAAGAAGUUCAAUAGUGAUUUCCAGCACUGUAUCUAUGACAUAGAGGACGAAGAAGAAUUUAUAAGUGCAUGGAAUGAUAUGCUUGAUAAGUAUGGACUACGUGAGAAUACAUGGCUCCAAAGGUUGUUCGAGAAAAGGGAGCAAUGGGCACUAGUGUAUGGUAGAAAUACAUUCUCUGCCCACAUGAGCACUACCCAAAGAAGUGAAAGCAUGAACAAUGAACUGAAGCGUUACAUCAGUAUUAAAUAUGACAUGCUUACAUUUUUCGAGCAUUUCGAACGGCUUGUUGCAGAUAAAAGAUUUGAAGAAGUGAAGUGUGACUUCAAGGCAUCACAAACUACUCCGAAGAUGAAGGCAGAAAGUAGCUAUAUAUUAAGGCACGCUGUAACUACAUAUACUCCAGCAAUAUUCAAGAUGUUUCAGGAGGAAGUGCUUCUGACCCUGAAUUAUGACACAUUCCUUCGUGAUGACAGUGAUACAGAGCAAAAGUUUUACACGGUAAAAUUUCAUGACACAAAACGUGAGCAUGUUGUUAGAUUUGCUCCAAAUGAAGAAAGGGUGAAUUGUAGUUGCAAGAAGUUUGAAUUUGCUGGAAUUCUAUGCCGUCAUUGCUUAAAGGUACAUGAUAUCAAUAAUAUCAAGCAUAUCCCUGAACAAUAUAUCUUGAAAAGGUGGACAAUAGACGCCAAAGUUCUAGAGAUAACAAGCAAUCGCAAUCUACAUGAGGAUCGAAAAGCAAAAAUGUCGAACUACUAUGAGGAGUUGUGCAGAAUGUUUGUCAAAAUAGCUGCUCGUGCCUCUGAAUCGGACGAAACAUAUGAUAUGGUUGCUAAAUGCGCAGAGCAGCUAGCAGAAGCUGUGGAGAAAUAG
Molecule: ribosomal RNA, 1626 nt
Filed under: Triticum aestivum (bread wheat)
Lineage: Eukaryota; Viridiplantae; Streptophyta; Magnoliopsida; Poales; Poaceae
Description: partial small subunit ribosomal RNA
Source: RNAcentral